AGGUUUGGGAAGGGAAAUGUGGCUAAUAUCUCUAACAGCUGUCAGAGGAGGGACCUUCCUUCAAAGGGACUAGACCGGGAUCCCCGCAAGUUCCCCAUUAGUCUUGCAGGGCAGCAGUUUGGAGGAUGCAAUUUUGCCCGUGAAUGCAUUUUCUCAAAAUGCGUUGGCUUCAUUCCUCCUUUGCUAAAGAAUAUCAACGGAUUUACUAAUAGAACCUAGUCCAGGAAUAUCCAGUGUGUCAGAUCAAAUCCCAGCAACAAAGCUGCGCGAAACUGCAAAACCGGUCCUCGGAGCUCUGAGCGGCUGGGCUGUCUCGUCCACAUAUAACAUCAGAGCGCCCCCUGCUGGCGAGCGGAGUAGAAGGCGGUGGGUCAGCCCUCUGCGAAGCAAAUCGUGGUUUUUUGCGCCACCCCCAUCCGAAACACCCUCCCCAGUACUGAUUCCCUUUCACUACCCCCACCUCGGUUCUGCAGCAAAACCCCGCGGCAGGGGAAUAGCUUGCCAAGACCGAGCAUGUAAAUGAAUAAAUGAUUAAAAAUAAUAAAGUACGAAGGAACCCCAACCUUCACUUGGCCUCCGGGGAAUAAACUAUCAAUUGACUAGGAAAG
Molecule: long non-coding RNA, 608 nt
Organism: Lontra canadensis (Northern American river otter)
Lineage: Eukaryota; Metazoa; Chordata; Mammalia; Carnivora; Mustelidae
Exons: 4
Source: RefSeq, a predicted model, not a curated record